Molecule: long non-coding RNA, 1480 nt
Organism: Cyprinus carpio carpio
Lineage: Eukaryota; Metazoa; Chordata; Actinopteri; Cypriniformes; Cyprinidae
Source: Ensembl
AACUUUUCCACUUUGUGUUGAUCAAUGUUUAUAAGUAAAUAAAAACCUAGAUUAAAUCUGUUUGUCAUAUAAAGCGAUCAUGUCUCUUCAGAAUGAUUCGAACUGUGCAAUUUAUAUGGAUUACUUUUACAGCGUCUUCAACUUUGCAAAGUCCCUUGAAGUCUUAAUUAAUGUAUGGAUGUUUUUCCGUUAUUUAAAAUAUCAAAUUGUGUGGUAUUAAGUUUAUUAGGUUUCAAUGUAUAGAUGUCACUGUUUAUAUUUAUAUUACAAUAUAAUAAGGUUUCUGUUUUACAAAUUUCUUUCUUUUAAAUUAUUUAUUUUUCUUUUAUUAUGAUAUCAAGACAGCUGUACCAGUUUGUUUUGUUUUUUUUAAUAUUUUUUUUCUUGUUAUUCCCACCUAAAAAUAUCAGAGUUUUAUUAAAAAAAUUAAUAACAUGUUUAGUCGUGUCAUUGUAUGUAUGAAUUUAAUGUUUAUUGUAUUAGCACUACAAACAAACAAACAAACAAAAAAGGACCUCAAGUCAUUGUCCAUAAAAUGGUUUAGAAAAGUGAAGCUCUGAGAAAAGCUUUUGCAGGUGCCACAUAGUAAUGAUAUAAUUUAAUACACCUGCAACCGGAUUUGUGAAGACGCACAGGUCUAAAGGUGAACCUCUGGAUCGCUUUAUUAAUUUAAAGUGCCAUAAAAUGCUUUAUGGGAUGUAAAAAGGAUGUAAAAGAGUUUCUCUUCUGUGCCGGAGAGAGAUUCGAGCACCAGCACGGAGUUCCUGAUUGUUAUUGCAUAUGCCUGCAAGCAUGUGCGUGGGUGUGUGGGUAAUCCCAACUCCCUCUCUCUGUGUUGUCCCAACACAUUGGAAUCAUGCCAUAGCAGCAUGCUGCUUUUUGUCUAGUUUCAGUAAGGGAACUCUCUUGAGUGGGCAGAUCCCUGGCAUAAAAAGAGGCCAGGACUACAGGGAGAUGCUCAUUCAGCACCUUGCUCACUCAUUCAUUCAGCAUGGCAACAGCUCCCUUCAUCUGUGAUGUGGAAACCUCUGAGGAAUCUCUGAGGGCUGCUGUGAGCAGCCACCAGGUCAGGCAUCGGGUCUGCUCCUACACUCUCCUCCAGGUCCUUGUAGGUGUACUGACGGUCUUUGUGCUGGCACUGACUGGAAGUCUCAUCUGGAUGAAGGAGACUUCGGAUUGCCCAGGGAAGCUUUGGACUGUCAAUUUCACAGGAACAAAUGCAACCUUCACUUCACCUAGAACUCAGAAAUAUGUGAUCUUUGGCAGUGUCUUCACAACAGGAGUUGUCAGUAACUGCACAAAUGUAUUCAGGCUGCAAUCCCAUGGAAAAGAAAUCCUAAAAAGUGGAGUCGCUGAGAUAUUUAGUAGAGAUGAUGUAGAGCUUCGGAAAGAAGCAACACUAAGUGUAAUGCUUAAUUGUAAAGUGUUUAUUGAUGAGGACAAGUCCAAACUCUUCAUUUAUCAACAUAACUCAUGCUAG